AGAGUUUGAUCCUGGCUCAGAGCGAACGCUGGCGGCAGGCCUAAUACAUGCAAGUCGAGCGCCGUAGCAAUACGGAGCGGCAGACGGGAGAGUAACACGUGGGAACGUACCCUUCAGUUCGGAACAACCCAGGGAAACUUGGGCUAAUACCGGAUACGUCCGUAAGGAGAAAGAUUUAUCGCUGAAGGAUCGGCCCGCGUCUGAUUAGCUUGUUGGUGAGGUAACGGCUCACCAAGGCGACGAUCAGUAGCUGGUCUGAGAGGAUGAUCAGCCUCACUGGGACUGAGACACGGCCCAGACUCCUACGGGAGGCAGCAGUAGGGAGUAUUGGACAAUGGGCGCAAGCCUGAUCCAGCCAUGCCGCGUGGGUGAUGAAGGCCCUAGGGUUGUAAA
This 393-nucleotide ribosomal RNA is filed under the name uncultured bacterium. RNAcentral describes it as "bacterial SSU rRNA". It matches the Rfam family "Bacterial small subunit ribosomal RNA", at positions 8 to 429 of the family's 1533-position model. The record is from RNAcentral.